AGUGAACGCUGGCGGCGGGCCUAACACAUGCAAGUCGAACGGAAGCACAGUAAGAGCUUGCUCUUACGGGUGGCGAGUGGCGGAUGGGUGACGCAUACAUCGGAACCUUCUUUUUCGUGGGGGACAACGUGGGGACACUUACGAUAAUACCGCAUACGCACUACGGGUGGAUGCAGGGGCUACUGGGGGCUUGCCCGCUUGUAUGAGACGAGGUCGGGUUAGCUAGUUGGCGGGGUAAAGGCCCACCAAGGCGACGAUCCGUUGCUGGUCUGAGAGGAUGAUCAGCCACACUGGGACUGAGACACGGUCCAGACUCCUACGGGAGGCAGCAGUAGGGAAGAUUGGACAAUGGGCGCAAGCCUGAUCGAGCCAUACCGCGUGAGUGAAGAAGGGCUUCGGGUUGUAAAACCCUUUUAUUGGGGAAGAAAAUCAGCGGGUUAAUACGUGGCUGUUUUGACGGUACCCAAAGAGUAAGCAACGGCUAACUUCGUG
RNAcentral lists this ribosomal RNA (492 nucleotides) under uncultured bacterium. RNAcentral describes it as "partial 16S ribosomal RNA". It matches the Rfam family "Bacterial small subunit ribosomal RNA", at positions 29 to 507 of the family's 1533-position model. The record is from RNAcentral.